UUUUACUUAAUCAUCCGCCUGGGUACUACGAGCACUAGCUUAAAACCCAAAGGACUUGGCGGUGCUUUAAACCCACCUAAAGGAGCCUGUUCUAGAACCGAUAACCCCCGUUAAACCUCACCCUCUCUUGUUCUUCCCGCCUAUAUACCGCCGUCGUCAGCUUACCCUGUGAAGGCUUAAAAGUAAGCAAAGUCAGUUGUACUCAAAACGUCAGGUCGAGGUGUAGCAUAUGAGAGGGGAAGAAAUGGGCUACAUUCCUUAACUUAAGGCACUACGGACAAUGUGAUGAAAAGAAUAUUAGAAGGAGGAUUUAGCAGUAAGCAGUAAAUAGAGAGUCC
Molecule: ribosomal RNA, 338 nt
Filed under: Oryzias dancena
Lineage: Eukaryota; Metazoa; Chordata; Actinopteri; Beloniformes; Adrianichthyidae
Description: partial 12S rRNA
Rfam family: Bacterial small subunit ribosomal RNA
Source: RNAcentral